RNAcentral lists this ribosomal RNA (253 nucleotides) under uncultured bacterium. RNAcentral describes it as "partial 16S ribosomal RNA". It matches the Rfam family "Bacterial small subunit ribosomal RNA", at positions 524 to 776 of the family's 1533-position model. The record is from RNAcentral.
UACGUAGGGUGCAAGCGUUGUCCGGAAUUAUUGGGCGUAAAGAGCUCGUAGGCGGUUUGUUGCGUCGGCUGUGAAAUCCCGAGGCUCAACCUCGGGUCUGCAGUCGAUACGAGCAAACUAGAGUGUUGCAGGGGAGACUGGAAUUCCUGGUGUAGCGGUGAAAUGCGCAGAUAUCAGGAGGAACACCAGCGGCGAAGGCGGCGCUCUGGGCCGAUACUGACGCUGAGGAGCGAAAGCGUGGGGAGCGAACAGG